UUUAAUAUGGCAGAAUAAAUAGUGCAUUGGAUUUAAACCCCAAAUAUAAAGAUUUUUUACCUUUUAUUAAAA
This 72-nucleotide transfer RNA is filed under the name Paratrechina zanjensis. RNAcentral's name for it is "tRNA-Leu". It matches the Rfam family "tRNA". From Rfam's summary of the family: Transfer RNA (tRNA) molecules are approximately 80 nucleotides in length. Their secondary structure includes four short double-helical elements and three loops (D, anti-codon, and T loops). Further hydrogen bonds mediate the characteristic L-shaped molecular structure. tRNAs have two regions of fundamental functional importance: the anti-codon, which is responsible for specific mRNA codon recognition, and the 3' end, to which the tRNAs corresponding amino acid is attached (by aminoacyl-tRNA synthetases). tRNAs cope with the degeneracy of the genetic code in two manners: having more than one tRNA (with a specific anti-codon) for a particular amino acid; and 'wobble' base-pairing, i.e. permitting non-standard base-pairing at the 3rd anti-codon position. Lineage: Eukaryota; Metazoa; Arthropoda; Insecta; Hymenoptera; Formicidae. The record is from RNAcentral.